RNAcentral lists this transfer RNA (70 nucleotides) under Hylobates moloch (silvery gibbon). RNAcentral describes it as "tRNA-His". It matches the Rfam family "tRNA". From Rfam's summary of the family: Transfer RNA (tRNA) molecules are approximately 80 nucleotides in length. Their secondary structure includes four short double-helical elements and three loops (D, anti-codon, and T loops). The record is from RNAcentral. Lineage: Eukaryota; Metazoa; Chordata; Mammalia; Primates; Hylobatidae.
GUAAACAUAGUUUAAUCAAAACAUUAGAUUGUGAAUCUAACAAUAGAGACUCAUAGACCUCUUGCUUACC